CUGCCUUUUAAUUUCAUGCUGUGAACCUUACUCCAUUUGUGAAUGAAUUCUGCCCAAAUACAGCCAAAACAAAAUGCCAGACAGCUCUAUUCGCACCACUGAAAUAAAAGAGAAAGGCUGGUUUUGAGUUUAAGGCACAGGAUUAGGAUCCCAAGCCAGCAAGGAUUAUGCACACAAACAAAGGCUGCAGGAUCUGGCCCAGGAGUCAGGACAUCUGCAUUCUGGGAUAAAGACUUCUUGGAUCCUGCUGCUACCCACAGACUUCUUCACCCAUUUGCAAAUCAAGA
RNAcentral lists this long non-coding RNA (287 nucleotides) under Gopherus agassizii (Agassiz's desert tortoise). RNAcentral's name for it is "lncRNA (ENSGAGG00000011883.1)". The record is from RNAcentral. Lineage: Eukaryota; Metazoa; Chordata; Testudines; Testudinidae.